GAUGAACGCUGGCGGCGUGCCUAAUACAUGCAAGUCGAGCGAACGGACGAGAAGCUUGCUGCUCUGAUGUUAGCGGCGGACGGGUGAGUAACACGUGGAUAACCUACCUAUAAGACUGGGAUAACUUCGGGAAACCGGAGCUAAUACCGGAUAAUAUUUUGAACCGCAUGGUUCAAAAGUGAAAGACGGUCUUGCUGUCACUUAUAGAUGGAUCCGCGCUGCAUUAGCUAGUUGGUAAGGUAACGGCUUACCAAGGCAACGAUGCUUAGCCGACCUGUGAGGGUGAGCGGCCAUGCUGGAGCUACGGCCCGGUCCAGGAUUCUGCGGGGGGCAGGAGUCGGGAAUCUUCCGCCAGGGGCGAAUGCCUGACGGAGCGACGCCGCGUGAGUGAUGAAGGUCGUCGGAUCGAAAACCGCUGUUAUUAGGGAAAAACAUAUGUGUAAGUAACUGUGCAGAUCUUGGCGGUACCUAAUCAGAAGGCCGCGGCUCAAUACG
RNAcentral lists this ribosomal RNA (495 nucleotides) under uncultured bacterium. RNAcentral describes it as "partial 16S ribosomal RNA". It matches the Rfam family "Bacterial small subunit ribosomal RNA", at positions 28 to 505 of the family's 1533-position model. The record is from RNAcentral.